Molecule: ribosomal RNA, 253 nt
Filed under: uncultured bacterium
Lineage: Bacteria
Description: partial 16S ribosomal RNA
Rfam family: Bacterial small subunit ribosomal RNA
Source: RNAcentral
UACGUAGGGGGCAAGCGUUGUCCGGAAUCAUUGGGCGUAAAGCGCGUGUAGGCGGCCACGUUAGUCCGUUCUGAAAGCCCGGGGCUCAACCCCGGGAGGCGGAUGGAUACUGCGUGGCUCGAGUCCGGAAGAGGCGAGUGGAAUUCCCGGUGUAGCGGUGAAAUGCGCAGAUAUCAGGAGGAACACCAAUGGCGAAGGCAGCUCGCUGGGACGUGACUGACGCUGAGACGCGAAAGCGUGGGGAGCAAACAGG